UCAUAUACCAUCUAAGAAACUUAAAAUUGAUUUUAGUUUUUAUGAGACGAAAGUGAUUUAUUGAGUUUACACUUUUAAUUUUUAUCUUGAGGAUGUGAUCGUACAACUAGUGUUAGUGAGAGUGCACACUAUGAAUAUAUACAAUCUAAAGGGGUGUUGCACUUUACAUAUGGCAUAUAGCAUAACCUCUCAAUCCAUAUUUUCCUAAGUUAUUUUUGAACCCCACAUGAAUUUCAAGUAGUGCAUGUUUUAGCAUUAAAAGUUUAGCCAUAUAUAUAUAUGAUUCACGAACGCGUGUUAAUCUAUGUAUGACUUUAUUCAUUUUACAUGAUGAAAGAUAAACUCACAUCUUCCUUAUGUCUCCUCAAUAAUAUAUUUGUAUGUAGGUUAAAUUCAACAUGAUGAUGACAAGCAAUCAGUGGAGCUUUUCUUGUGGAACUGAAAUACUAGAGGCUUUUACUUCACUUUAUUUUAAGAGUUUUUUUUUACUAUCAUUGAUUUUCUGGUAGGGGUAGAGAUCUUUGGAAUUCAAUAGUAUCUUUUGAAUAAGUUACUCUAUUUAAUAAUUGUUUGUAUUGUUUAAUAUUUAGUGUUUACACUUGUUUUAUUUUUUAGUUUUCAAAGUUAUGAGUUAUAAAAUUAUUGUUAUUAUUUAUAAAAAAUAUAAUGUUUUUGAAAUGUGCAAA
Molecule: long non-coding RNA, 686 nt
Filed under: Cicer arietinum (chickpea)
Lineage: Eukaryota; Viridiplantae; Streptophyta; Magnoliopsida; Fabales; Fabaceae
Description: long non-coding RNA (CARI_LNC003456)
Source: RNAcentral